UACGUAGGUGGCAAGCGUUGUCCGGAUUUACUGGGCGUAAAGAGCGCGCAGGCGGUCGUUCAAGUCGCGUGUGAAAGCCCCCGGCUCAACUGGGGAGGGUCACGCGAUACUGAUCGACUGGAAGGCAGGAGAGGGUAGUGGAAUUCCCGGUGUAGUGGUGAAAUGCGUAGAUAUCGGGAGGAACACCAGAGGCGAAGGCGGCUAGCUGGAUAGGCACUGACACUCAACUGCGAAAGCGUGGGGAGCAAACAGG
RNAcentral lists this ribosomal RNA (253 nucleotides) under uncultured bacterium. Its description in RNAcentral is "partial 16S ribosomal RNA". It matches the Rfam family "Bacterial small subunit ribosomal RNA", at positions 524 to 776 of the family's 1533-position model. The record is from RNAcentral.